CCGAGAGUGAUCUUCGGUGAAUGUUAUCCAACAUGAGUAGUAUUAUGUUUUUGGACAAGUGCCACUAACAUCUAAGUGAAUUAACCUCAACAACUUUGUGAUUCUUUCUUCUUUCCAAAAGAAUAAAGAUUCGAACAUUUCGCCUCUAUACAAUUUUAACAAGAAGGUAUUGGAUCCAGAUCUAAUGAUCCAAAGCGUCCAUCUAUGACCAACUCGUAAUUUAUGUUUUAGAGGUAUCACAACUUUAGUUGGGAUUAGUCACUACUUUGCAACCUUUUGGGUUUUUAAGCAUCAUUAUAUUCUAAACAGUUAACACUACCAUAUCAUCUCUACUAUAGAGAUAAUUAAUUAGAUUACAAUAAUCUAAUCAUUGAUUAAUAAAGAACAAUGUUUUGUCAAACAAAACAUUCAUCCAUCUCUACUAUAGUGAUGGAAUUAAAUUCCUUAAAAUUGGAAUGUAAAGACAAUCUUUGGUUUUUCCAAUUUCUUUGGUAAUUCAUAUGAGGAAGUAAGUACCAUCUGCUUUCGCAGAAAUCUAUAUUUUAUUCACUUUCCGAAUGUGAAGUACUUUCUCUUCUCUCAUAUAUCUUCUACUUCUUAUUAGCCAUACUUUUACAACGAUUGUAAAACUUUAGUUACUAAUACGGAAUCAAGCAUUCAAGUAGAAGAACCAACUGUUUUGAACUAUUCAAGAACAAUUUACAACGCCUUCGAAAGGUGUGUUCUUGACACUUGCAAGACAUUUCUUGCAAAUACCCCUUCCAAUGUCCAUCCUUUCAUAAAGAAAGUUUGUUCCCUUGGAGUUAUUUUGCUUUCUUCAUUUGACUUCUCCUUUGACUACCAUAGUCAAGGUCCCUAAACUCCCACUAUCUCUCUUGAAACUUAUUUCAAUUGUGUUAUACACAUCAAACAUUUUGGAGAGCAUGUGGUUAUUGUACACUACAUAGUUUACAAUAAACUUAGUGAACGAUUAGGAUAGGGACACAAAGGUGAAGUCCUUGCCUAGUUCCCGUCUCUAGAAGUGUUUUAAUACUUCAACACUCAAUGAUUCAAAAUCAUCAUAAGUCCAUGUUGAUGGACUAUUUUUGUCAACCAACCAUUAUGUUCUAAACAUAAUUACAAACUUUCAAGAGUUGUUCAAAGCAACU
RNAcentral lists this long non-coding RNA (1148 nucleotides) under Malus domestica (apple). RNAcentral describes it as "long non-coding RNA (MDOM_LNC015216)". The record is from RNAcentral. Lineage: Eukaryota; Viridiplantae; Streptophyta; Magnoliopsida; Rosales; Rosaceae.